RNAcentral lists this ribosomal RNA (166 nucleotides) under Viburnum caudatum. Its description in RNAcentral is "5.8S ribosomal RNA". It matches the Rfam family "5.8S ribosomal RNA". Rfam says of the family: 5.8S ribosomal RNA (5.8S rRNA) is a component of the large subunit of the eukaryotic ribosome. The record is from RNAcentral. Lineage: Eukaryota; Viridiplantae; Streptophyta; Magnoliopsida; Dipsacales; Adoxaceae.
CAAACGACUCUCGGCAACGGAUAUCUCGGCUCUCGCAUCGAUGAAGAACGUAGCGAAAUGCGAUACUUGGUGUGAAUUGCAGAAUCCCGUGAACCAUCGAGUUUUUUGAACGCAAGUUGCGCCCAAAGCCAUUAGGGCCGAGGGCACGUCUGCCUGGGCGUCACGC